UGCCAGCAGCCGCGGUAAUACGGAGGGUGCAAGCGUUAAUCGGAAUUACUGGGCGUAAAGCGCGCGUAGGUGGUUAUUUAAGUUGGCUGUGAAAGCCCCGGGCUCAACCUGGGAAUUGCAGUUGAUACUGGCAAGCUAGAGUACGAGAGAGGGAGGUAGAAUUCCAUGUGUAGCGGUGAAAUGCGUAGUUAUAUGGAGGAAUACCAGUGGCGAAGGCGGCCUCCUGGCUCGAUACUGACACUGAGGUGCGAAAGCGUGGGUAGCAAACAGGAUUAGAUA
This 279-nucleotide ribosomal RNA is filed under the name uncultured bacterium. RNAcentral describes it as "partial 16S ribosomal RNA". It matches the Rfam family "Bacterial small subunit ribosomal RNA", at positions 506 to 784 of the family's 1533-position model. The record is from RNAcentral.